UCCUCACCAAAGAACUAAUUUUUCUCGAGCUUCUGCACGAACAAAUUGUGAGCUUGGAUCUUUGUUUUAGUUUCUAUUUCUUGUUUCAAAAGCCAUUAACACCUACAUGCAAGUGGAUCAAUGGGUGUUUGCUGCUUUUGUGAGCUUCUUUUGUUGCUGCAUCUCCACACAAAAUCCAGACUGGUAUCACCAAAUGUGAUGAACAAUGGUUUUUGCUUGUUAUUUUGUGGGGUUAUUGGUUAGCUCUAGUUUGUGAUUGCCGCAGUUGUCUUCCCUAGCUAGCUGACUAACGAGUAGAAGUGAAGAUACCUGGAUCAAGUUCGUGGCAUUUCCUGCACCGUUUGAGCAGAAACAUGAAAUUUCUUUCAGAAGGUUAGUUAGUUGGCAUCCUCUGAAUUCAGAUGUUUGUCCUAAUUGUUCAUAUAUAGAUCUUUUUAGCCCUAUAUAUCUAUUGCGAGUAACCUCUUUUGGUCUUUGCUUGAGAUUUGUCUUCUCUUCUUUCCUGUGUUACGUGACCUUACAACUUGCUCUCAGGCAUAAGAGGACAGUGGUUUUUAGAGGGUAGAGUCUGCUUACUUUGCAAAAUUCUUAAUUUCCUGAUGAAUUUGAAGAUUGAUCCCUUAUUGCUGGAAGCUCCUUAUGGAGUGAAACGAGGUUAAGGAAAAUGUCUAUAGUGAGGUUGUUUCUCUUAACUUGAGGAACCAAUUGUGUGUGUGUUUUGGUUGUUAUGCUGCAUUGCAUUAUUCUUGUGUGUUUGACCGUUGUCAUUGUUUUCAAUCUAGCCCUUCGGAUUUCGCAACCUAAUAUCGGUAACAUGUGGAUCCAGUUCAGUCUGCUUUUGGUGGCUGCCGUUGAGAAUUCCUGACUCUUUCUUCAUUCAUUUUGGCUGUUAGUUAAUGUCGAUCUACGACAACUUUGUCCAUUGAUUUCCCGAGGGAUUGAUGAAAGGAUUUGCGCUGUGAAACGUAGAAUGGAUUUACACGAAUUCUCGGUCCACAGAACUUCAUUUCCUUUCCUCCUUUGGCAUGAAAACUCCAUAUGUAUUUUUGAAGUUGCAUCUAGUUACAAUAGCUAGUUUCCUCUACCGUUUCUGUGUUUGCUCCAAAUAAGAUGUUUUUGCGGCUUUGAUAUGAAAUUUUCAAGCUGUGUUCAUCGUUUUCGUACAAGGGAGACUUGGUAUUGAUAGCUAAUGAAUCAUCCUGAAAUAAGUGAUGGUUUUUCCAUGGCUGCGAUCUUUGUGGUUGCAUUGUUAGGAGGGGUGCGCACAAUAGCAAGCUGGAACAGAAUCGUGCUAUCAUGCGACCGACCAGGAAAUGGCGGUUAAGUCUCCUAAAUAUCCAAAUCCAAAUUCCAGGAUUCACUUCGGACAAGAACUUGGAAUUCUGGGAGGUAUAGGGCAUUGUCUGAUGAUGUGUUUUAUGUGUAUAUAUAUAUAGCCUGAGAUUGGACAUUAAUUAGAUUUCCAAUGUAUACAACAUCGCGUUUGCAUUGUCUUCCUCA
This is a long non-coding RNA of Tarenaya hassleriana, 1500 nucleotides long. RefSeq lists it as uncharacterized. The record is from RefSeq and is a predicted model, not a curated record. The transcript is spliced from 2 exons. NCBI's taxonomy places the organism in Eukaryota, Viridiplantae, Streptophyta, Magnoliopsida, Brassicales, Cleomaceae.